Molecule: ribosomal RNA, 484 nt
Filed under: uncultured bacterium
Lineage: Bacteria
Description: bacterial SSU rRNA
Rfam family: Bacterial small subunit ribosomal RNA
Source: RNAcentral
GAUUAACGCUAGCGGCAGGCCUAAUACAUGCAAGUCGAACGGCAGCGGGUGUAGCAAUACAUGCCGGCGAGUGGCGCACGGGUGCGUAACGCGUAUGCAAUCUACCUAUAACUGGGGAAUAGCCUUCCGAAAGGAAGAUUAAUACCGCAUAACAUCAUGAAACGGCAUCGUUUUAUGAUCAAAACUCCGGUGGUUAUAGAUGAGCAUGCGUGACAUUAGCUAGUUGGUGAGGUAACGGCUCACCAAGGCGACGAUGUCUAGGGGGUCUGAGAGGAUGAUCCCCCACACUGGUACUGAGACACGGACCAGACUCCUACGGGAGGCAGCAGUAAGGAAUAUUGGACAAUGGCCGCAAGGCUGAUCCAGCCAUGCCGCGUGAAGGAUGAAGGUGCUAUGCAUUGUAAACUUCUUUUGUCCCGGAAUAAACCCCUGAUUUCUAUCGGGGCUGAAUGUACGGGAAGAAUAAGGGACGGCUAACUUCGUG